This 714-nucleotide long non-coding RNA is filed under the name Felis catus (domestic cat). Its description in RNAcentral is "lncRNA (ENSFCAG00000052651.1)". Lineage: Eukaryota; Metazoa; Chordata; Mammalia; Carnivora; Felidae. The record is from RNAcentral.
UCUGGAGUGGAAUGACCCUGUGGAGUUGACCCACGUGGAGGGAAAAAGAGGCAGCUAGCUGACUAAGCAGGAACUAUGAAACUACAUUCUUAUAUUAGAAAUAGAUGACACCAUUUUCCAGUUUGAAAUUAGAAGCCAGUAUACCUCCAGACAUUUCUCUAUGGAUAAACUGAAAGUGGCGUCAGCUGGGCCAAGAAGCAGGCAUGCAGGUGGCGGCUUCCCCGUCCCGGGGAUCCAGGACGUAGUCUGAGACUGACAUUUGGAAAUGAGGCCCACUGCGGGCCUGGGGGACUUCACACUUCACAUCACCCCUUUUACCCAUCACGACAUACAAGGCAAGUACACCUGGAUUUUCCGAACAGCUUAUUUCUUCAGUCUUCUCUAACGCUAUGGAACAAGAAGCUGUCACUGAGUAGGGCCAAAUAUAGGGGCUGCUUGCUUUUCUCCUUGCCUCCCUCCAAUUUAAAUUAUAGGUAUAUAUUUUCUGUGGGUACAAAAUGCCUACAAUUCUUAAUCUGUUCAAUGUGCAGUAACAUCUUGGUUAUAAGGAGCUCAGUUAAGGGUGAAUGUGGUUAAAAGCUCAGGUCUAGAGUCUGACUGCUGGGGUUUCAGUCAUGGUUCUACAGCUUAUUUAUUAAUUGUGUAACUUUAGGGACUGCUCUGGACUGAAUGUUUGUGUCCUCUCAAAAUCCACGUGUUAAAGCCUAAUUCCCA